CCAAUAGCGUAUAUUAAAGUUGUUGCAGUUAAAAAGCUCGUAGUUGAAUUUCGGGAUCAAGGGAUCGGUCAUGCCUUGGUAUGUACUGGUCUUAUUGGUUCUCACCUUCUAAAGAACCAUGAUGUCAUUCAUUUGAUGUUAUGGGGAAUUAGGACUGUUACCUUGAAAAAAUUAGAGUGUUUAAAGCAAGCUUACGCUUGAAUACAUUAGCAUGGAAUAAUGAAAUAGGACAUCAGAUUCUAUUUUGUUGGUUUCUAGGAUCGAUGUAAUGAUUAAUAGGGAUAGUUGGGGGCAUUAGUAUUCAAUUGUCAGAGGUGAAAUUCUUGGAUUUAUUGAAGACUAACUACUGCGAAAGCAUUUGCCAAGGAUGUUUUCAUUAAUCAAGAACGAAAGUUAGGGGAUCGAAGACGAACAGAUACCGUCGUAGUCUUAACCAUAAACUAUGCCGACUAGGGAUCGGAUGAUGUUAAUUUUUUAAUGACUCAUUCGGCACCUUACG
Molecule: ribosomal RNA, 499 nt
Filed under: uncultured Glomeromycotina
Lineage: Eukaryota; Fungi; Glomeromycota
Description: partial small subunit ribosomal RNA
Rfam family: Eukaryotic small subunit ribosomal RNA
Source: RNAcentral